GACGAACGCUGGCGGCGUGCUUAACACAUGCAAGUCGAACGGAAAGGCCCUGCUUUUGUGGGGUGCUCGAGUGGCGAACGGGUGAGUAACACGUGAGUAACCUGCCCUUGACUUUGGGAUAACUUCGGGAAACUGGGGCUAUUACCGGAUAGAAGCUCUUGCUGCAGGGGGGGGGUUGGAAAGUUUCGGCGGUUGGGGAUGGACUCGCGGCUUAUCAGCUGGUUGGUGGGGUAGUGGCUUACCAAGGCUUUGACGGGUAGCCGGCCUGGGAGGGUGACCGGCCACAUUGGGACUGAGAUACGGCCCAGACUCCUACGGGAGGCAGCAGUGGGGAAUAUUGCACAAUGGGCGGAAGCCUGAUGCAGCAACGCCGCGUGCGGGAUGACGGCCUUCGGGUUGUAAACCGCUUUCGCCUGUGACGAAGCGUGAGUGACGGUAAUGGGUAAAGAAGCACCGGCUAACUACGUG
RNAcentral lists this ribosomal RNA (468 nucleotides) under uncultured bacterium. RNAcentral's name for it is "partial 16S ribosomal RNA". It matches the Rfam family "Bacterial small subunit ribosomal RNA", at positions 28 to 507 of the family's 1533-position model. The record is from RNAcentral.